RNAcentral lists this ribosomal RNA (253 nucleotides) under uncultured bacterium. RNAcentral describes it as "partial 16S ribosomal RNA". It matches the Rfam family "Bacterial small subunit ribosomal RNA", at positions 524 to 776 of the family's 1533-position model. The record is from RNAcentral.
UACGUAGGGGGCAAGCGUUGUCCGGAUUCAUUGGGCGUAAAGAGCGUGUAGGCGGCCAGGUAGGUCGGUUGUGAAAACUGGAGGCUUAACCUUCAGACGUCGAUGGAAACCGUGCGGCUAGAGUCCGGAAGAGGAGAAUGGAAUUCCUGGUGUAGCGGUGAAAUGCGCAGAUAUCAGGAAGAACACCCGUGGCUAAGGCGGUUCUCUAGUACGGUACUGACGCUGAGACGCGAAAGCGUGGGGAGCGAACAGG